CAUUACCUGAAUUUUGGGAAUUAGUUCAAAUAAUUCAUCCUGUUUCUUUUCUCUAAAAUCUGGCCCCUCAAUGGCUAUACCAUCAUCAGUAAGAAUACCACAUUCCCUAGCUAUAGCCUUGGCAGUAUUUAUAUUGUCUCCAGUAACCAUUCGUACGGUGAUACCAGCUGAACGACAAACUGCAACCGACUCCUUGACCCCAGGACGAACAGGAUCCUUAAUACCCAC
RNAcentral lists this unclassified non-coding RNA (228 nucleotides) under Hevea brasiliensis (rubber tree). The record is from RNAcentral. Lineage: Eukaryota; Viridiplantae; Streptophyta; Magnoliopsida; Malpighiales; Euphorbiaceae.